UUGAACGCUGGCGGUAUGCCUAACACAUGCAAGUCGAACGAGGUAGCAAUACCUAGUGGCGGACGGGUGAGGAAUACGUAGGGAUCUGCCUUUAAGUGGGGGAUAACCGGGGAAACCCGGAUUAAUACCGCAUGAUCUCGCAAGAGCAAAGAGGGGGACCGCAAGGCCUCUCGCUUUUAGAGGAACCUACGUCGGAUUAGCUAGUUGGUGAGGUAAUGGCUCACCAAGGCGACGAUCCGUAACUGGUCUGAGAGGAUGAGCAGUCACACCGGAACUGAGACACGGUCCGGACUCCUACGGGAGGCAGCAGUGGGGAAUAUUGGACAAUGGGCGAAAGCCUGAUCCAGCAAUACCGCGUGUGUGAAGAAGGCCUGCGGGUUGUAAAGCACUGGAAGUUGGGAAGAAAAAGCUUCACCGAAUACGUGGAGCCGUGACGGUACCGACAGAAUAAGCACCGGCUAACUCUGU
Molecule: ribosomal RNA, 468 nt
Filed under: uncultured bacterium
Lineage: Bacteria
Description: bacterial SSU rRNA
Rfam family: Bacterial small subunit ribosomal RNA
Source: RNAcentral